This 504-nucleotide unclassified non-coding RNA is filed under the name Artemisia annua (sweet wormwood). RNAcentral's name for it is "partial external transcribed spacer". The record is from RNAcentral. Lineage: Eukaryota; Viridiplantae; Streptophyta; Magnoliopsida; Asterales; Asteraceae.
UUCCUGAUUUUCCCAUCGUUCGGUGCAUUCUGGGGCUGUUUUGGCUAUUGGUUGCUUGUUUGGUCUUGAGCCGAACGGGUGGCUUCUAGUCUGGUGGCUUCGGGGAUGUUGACCGUAAAGGUGGAUGAGUGGUGUUUGGUUUGUUACGUGUGGUUGGCUGCGGCGUUUGCAACAACUUCCAUGCUUUCAGACCUCUUCAGUUGUGCGGCAAGGCUUGUAUCGCCUUGAGCGUAUUGUGGGUUUUCUGUGUUGGCUACCUAAUCAAUGGUAUCGGUUGGAUUGAUCAAUGUUUCAUUUCGUCUAUCGUCGCAUUUGCGGCGUGAGAUGAACCUUGAUGCGGUCUCUUUGAUCCACCUCGUCGAAGCGCAUGCUUUGGCGUUGUGGCACAUUGAGCAUUGCUUGGUCUCUUGUAUACGGAACAUAUAGUGGGCAUGGAUCUAACGAUUCUCGUUUGCCCUCAUAUUAGCGUAACGCUUCUCUUACACGACUUGCUCCACGUUUUAG